CGUCUAUAUACGUAUAGCAUAUCAAUAAGCGGAGGAAAAGAAACUAACUAGGAUUCCCUUAGUAACGGCGAGUGAAGCGGGAAGAGCUCAAAUUUGAAAUCUUCAAGGUUUUACCUUGACGAAUUGUAGUUUAAAGAAGUGUUUUCUGUUGGUAGUUUUGGUAAAAGUUCUUUGGAAAUAGGACAUCAUAGAGGGUGAGAAUCCCGUAUUUGGUACCAUUCCUUCCUAGCUGUUGUGAUACACUUUCAACGAGUCGGAUUGUUUGGGAAUGCAGUCCAAAAUGGGUGGUAAAUUUCAUCUAAAGCUAAAUAUUGGCGAGAGACCGAUAGCGAACAAGUACCGUGAGGGAAAGAUGAAAAGAACUUUGAAAAGAGAGUUAAACAGUACGUGAAAUUGUCAAAAGGGAAGCGUUUGACACCAGUGUUGUUUUUCUCGAAAAUCAAUUAGACUGGAUUUUGUUUCUGAGGAGUGAUGACUUUAUCAGGCUUUCCUUCUCUCUUUACGAGUCUUUCUGUAAUGCACUUUUCGGUUAACAAGUCAACAUCAAUUUCUUUUGUUGUAAAAGAGUAUUCGGAAGGUGGCUUUCUUUUCGGAGAAAGUGUUUAUAGCCCUAUACUUCUACAAUCGGAGAGAUUGAGGUCUGCAGCGUAGAUCCUUCGGGGUUAGAUACACUUUGUGCUAAGUUGUAGCUUUUCAUAGACAACUUGUUGACUAUGUUUAGUCAUUGUAGGCUUACUCGCUUACUGCUAUUUUACCUACGCUUAGGAUGUUGACUGAUAUGUAGUCGU
This 788-nucleotide ribosomal RNA is filed under the name uncultured Neocallimastigales. Its description in RNAcentral is "partial large subunit ribosomal RNA". It matches the Rfam family "Eukaryotic large subunit ribosomal RNA", at positions 26 to 643 of the family's 3401-position model. Lineage: Eukaryota; Fungi; Neocallimastigomycota; Neocallimastigomycetes; Neocallimastigales. The record is from RNAcentral.